UGGCCCUGCGGCUGCUCCUGUCGAGAAAUUGUUGGAGCUGGCAGCCUAGGAAUGACUCUCAGCCUCUAAGCUCACCUGGUCAGAAUCCUUGGAUGAGCCUGUGGGACCCUUCCUCCUAGCCCUGUGUAUUAGCAAUUACACUGCCCUAAAAUCAGUGGCUUUGGGACUGUAAGAGGAUGGAUAAAGAUUCUCAGGGACUACUAGAUUCAUCCCUGAUGGCAUCAGGCACUGCCAGCCGCUCAGAGAAUGAGGAAUCGCUGGCAGGGCAGAAGCGAGCCUCCUCCCAGGCCUUGGGCACCAUCCCUAAAAGGAGAAGCUCCUCCAGGUUCAUCAAGAGGAAGAAGUUUGAUGAUGAACUCGUGGAGAGCAGCCUGGCAAGGUCCUCUACCCGGGCAAAGGGUGACAGUGGGGUGGAACCAGGGCGCUGUUCAGGGAGUCAACCCUCUUCCAGUGAGAAGAAGAAGGUAUCCAAGACCCCCAACAUUCCUGUGCCACCCAGCCCAGCCCCAGCCCCUGGACUCACCAAGGGUGUGAAGAAGAGUAAACAGCCACUUCAGGUGACCAAGGAUCUGGGCCGCUGGCAGCCUGCAGAUGACCUCCUACUCAUCAACGCUGUGCUGCAGACCAAUGACCUGACAUCUGUCCACCUGGGAGUGAAAUUCAGCUGCCGCUUCACCCUUUGGGAAGUCCAGGAGUGCUGGUACGCCCUGCUGUACGACCCUGUCAUCUCCAAGUUGGCCUGCCAGGCCACGAGGCAGCUGCACCCAGAGGCCAUUGCAGCCAUCCAGAGCAAGGCCCUGUUUAGAAAAGCUGAGGAGCAGCUUCUGAGUAAAGUGGGAUCGACCAGCCAGCCCACCUUGGAGACCUUCCAGGACCUCCUACACAGACACUCUGAUGCCUUCUGUCCCGUACUACCAAGGCUCCGCAGGCUCACUGGCAGCUCAAAAAGCAGUAUUACCUGUUGGAGGACCAGACAGCGCAGCCACUGCCCAAGGGGGACCAAGCGUUGAACUUCUCUGAUGCAGAGGACCCGAUUGAUGACAGUAAGCUCAAGGACAUGCGAGAUGAGGUCCUGGAACAUGAGCUGACAGUGGCAGACCGGCGCCAGAAGCGAGAGAUUCGGCAGCUGGAACAGGAACUGCGUAAGUGGUAGGUGCUAGUCGACAGCAUCGCAGGCAUCAGCUCUCCAGACUUCGACAACCAGACCCUGGCAGUGCUGCGGCGCCGCAGGGUGCGGUACCUGACGCACUCUCGCGAGAUCACCCUGGGUAGAGCAACCAAGGAUAACCAGAUUAUGUGGACCUGUCUCUGGAAGGUCCAGCCUGGAAGAUCUCCUGGAAGCAAGGUGUCAUCAAGCUGAAGAACAACGGAGAUUUCUUCAUUGCCAAUGAGGGCCUGAGGCCUAUUUACAUCGAUGGACGGCCUGUGCUGUGUGGCUCCAAAUGGCGUCUUAACAAUAACUCUGUGGUGGAGAUGGCCCGCCUGCGUUUUGUCUUCCUCAUCAACCAGGACCUCAUUGUCCUCAUCCGGGCGGAGGCUGCCAAGAUCACACCGCAGUGAGGAGUGGUAGCAGGACCUUUAGGCUCUCUCUGGUCGGUUUCCUCUGCCAUUCCAGCCCCCUUGAACUGGGACUUCAGGCUCCUAG
Nycticebus coucang (slow loris) is the source of this 1645-nucleotide RNA transcript. It is a transcript of the gene named microspherule protein 1-like, with no coding region annotated. NCBI's taxonomy places the organism in Eukaryota, Metazoa, Chordata, Mammalia, Primates, Lorisidae. The record is from RefSeq and is a predicted model, not a curated record. The transcript has a single exon.